RNAcentral lists this ribosomal RNA (253 nucleotides) under uncultured bacterium. RNAcentral describes it as "partial 16S ribosomal RNA". It matches the Rfam family "Bacterial small subunit ribosomal RNA", at positions 524 to 776 of the family's 1533-position model. The record is from RNAcentral.
UACGUAGGGUGCGAGCGUUGUUCGGAAUUACUGGGCGUAAAGGGCGCGUAGGCGGCGACUCAAGUUAGAUGUGAAAGUCCUGGGCUUAACCUGGGGACUGCAUUUGAUACUGGGUUGCUUGAAUUCGGGAGAGGAUAGCGGAAUUCCCAGUGUAGAGGUGAAAUUCGUAGAUAUUGGGAAGAACACCGGUGGCGAAGGCGGCUAUCUGGACCGACAUUGACGCUGAGGCGCGAAAGCGUGGGGAGCAAACAGG